RNAcentral lists this ribosomal RNA (444 nucleotides) under uncultured Marinilabiliaceae bacterium. RNAcentral's name for it is "bacterial SSU rRNA". It matches the Rfam family "Bacterial small subunit ribosomal RNA", at positions 938 to 1382 of the family's 1533-position model. The record is from RNAcentral. Lineage: Bacteria; Pseudomonadati; Bacteroidota; Bacteroidia; Marinilabiliales; Marinilabiliaceae.
CAUGUGGUUUAAUUCGAUGAUACGCGAGGAACCUUACCUGGGUUAAAUGUAGGUUGCAUGGGGGGGAAACUUCCCUUUCCUUCGGGACUACUUACAAGGUGCUGCAUGGUUGUCGUCAGCUCGUGCCGUGAGGUGUCGGGUUAAGUCCCAUAACGAGCGCAACCCCUAUCGUUAGUUGCCAGCAAGUAAAGUUGGGGACUCUAGCGAGACUGCCGGUGUAAACCGUGAGGAAGUGGGAUGACGUCAAAUCAGCACGGCCCUUAUAUCCAGGGCUACACACGUGUUACAAUGGUCGGUACAAAGAGCAGCCACUUGGUGACAAGGCGCUAAUCUCAAAAAGCCGAUCUCAGUUCGGAUCGAAGUCUGCAACUCGACUUCGUGAAGUUGGAUUCGCUAGUAAUCGCGCAUCAGCCAUGGCCGCGGUCGAAUACGUUCCCGGGCCUU